AGCAACAGGCAGGCUUAUGAACUAAACACACCUGAUUUGGAUAUCUGGCUUGGGAGAAACGUCUGCCUUCCAGUUGGGUACACGAAUGAGCUUUUUAGAGAAUGGACUAGUAUGUGAACAAGUAGCCUUGGCUCCUGCAGACCACCACCAGCUAGGGCCGCUAGGCAGUGAUGGUGACUAUUCUCAACAGACUGCAAAAAAACCACAGUGAAUGUCAAAUUCCUUCCAAAGGAAAGGAUUGAUUCUGUUAUUAGAGAUAGGGAGACAUAAGCAGUUCUGAUGUCAUAACAUGUCCUCCAAGAGAAAAGGGAAGAGGCUAAAGAGGAAAAUGAUACACAAUGGGAGAAGGACCCAACAACCCUGUUAUCUUUGAAGAGGAUGGAAGGGGCCAUGAACCAGGAAUAAUCCAGAAUUCUAGCAUUUGAAAUCUCGAUAUUUUCCUAUGUGACCCUUUAAAAAAAUCUUCAGGGGUACACACCAAGCACGGGGAGGUUGUGAAAAAGAGAGAUAAGUCACGGGCCUUGUGGCAAGAAGAUCUGCUGCUCAGAUGGGAACCCCCUGGCCCCACCAUGCAGGAGGCAGGUUAUCACCUUAUAUUCAGUCUUUGCGUUAGAAAACAAAGCAGCAUUGUUCACUGUGAGCAGGAACAACAGCUGCAGUGGAGUCUGGACACAGGGACAGAAAUGCC
This 688-nucleotide long non-coding RNA is filed under the name Mus pahari (shrew mouse). RNAcentral's name for it is "lncRNA (MGP_PahariEiJ_G0002240.1)". The record is from RNAcentral. Lineage: Eukaryota; Metazoa; Chordata; Mammalia; Rodentia; Muridae.